Molecule: long non-coding RNA, 230 nt
Filed under: Ananas comosus (pineapple)
Lineage: Eukaryota; Viridiplantae; Streptophyta; Magnoliopsida; Poales; Bromeliaceae
Description: long non-coding RNA (ACOM_LNC040321)
Source: RNAcentral
GAGACAUAUUAGUAUGCAUCGGAUAUAUUACCUUAUGAUAGCGUAGAUGUACAUCACCAUGACAUCAUGCUUAUUGGAGACUUAGUAGUAUAGCAUUUCAUUCAUGCUUUCUUUCAGCAGUUUUCGUGUUCACUAUUUAUUACAUAUUACUUUAUGUUGUUACUUACCCUUUUCUUUUGGGGCCUAGUGGUGCAUUGAGCUGAGGUCAGUAAUUGCCCACUGGGAACUAU